UAUACCUCUUCCAUGUACUGCAGUAGACGCUGAGAGAGGAGCUUGGCUCUUCUUGGAUGAGUUGCGAACGGGUGAGUAACGCGUAGGUAACCUGCCUUGUAGCGGGGGAUAACUAUUGGAAACGAUAGCUAAUACCGCAUAACAAUGGAUGACACAUGUCAUUUAUUUGAAAGGGGCAAUUGCUCCACUACAAGAUGGACCUGCGUUGUAUUAGCUAGUAGGUGAGGUAAUGGCUCACCUAGGCGACGAUACAUAGCCGACCUGAGAGGGUGAUCGGCCACACUGGGACUGAGACACGGCCCAGACUCCUACGGGAGGCAGCAGUAGGGAAUCUUCGGCAAUGGGGGCAACCCUGACCGAGCAACGCCGCGUGAGUGAAGAAGGUUUUCGGAUCGUAAAGCUCUGUUGUAAGUCAAGAACGGGUGUGAGAGUGGAAAGUUCACACUGUGACGGUAGCUUACCAGAAAGGGACGGCUAACUACGUGCCAGCAGCCGCGGUAAUACGUAGGUCCCGAGCGUUGUCCGGAUUUAUUGGGGCGUAAAGCGAGCGCAGGCGGUUUGAUAAGUCUGAAGUUAAAGGCUGUGGCUCAACCAUAGUUCGCUUUGGAAACUGUCAAACUUGAGUGCAGAAGGGGAGAGUGGAAAUUCCAUGUGUAGCGGUGAAAUGCGUAGAUAUAUGGAGGAACACCGGUGGCGAAAGCGGCUCUCUGGUCUGUAACUGACGCUGAGGCUCGAAAGCGUGGGGAGCGAACAGGAUUAGAUACCUGGUAGUCCACGCCGUAAACGAUGAGUGCUAGGUGUUGGAUCCUUUCCGGGAUUCAGUGCCGCAGCUAACGCAUUAAGCACUCCGCCUGGGGAGUACGACCGCAAGGUUGAAACUCAAAGGAAUUGACGGGGGCCCGCACAAGCGGUGGAGCAUGUGGUUUAAUUCGAAGCAACGCGAAGAACCUUACCAGGUCUUGACAUCCCGAUGCUAUUUCUAGAGAUAGAAAGUUACUUCGGUACAUCGGUGACAGGUGGUGCAUGGUUGUCGUCAGCUCGUGUCGUGAGAUGUUGGGUUAAGUCCCGCAACGAGCGCAACCCCUAUUGUUAGUUGCCAUCAUUCAGUUGGGCACUCUAGCGAGACUGCCGGUAAUAAACCGGAGGAAGGUGGGGAUGACGUCAAAUCAUCAUGCCCCUUAUGACCUGGGCUACACACGUGCUACAAUGGUUGGUACAACGAGUUGCGAGUCGGUGACGGCGAGCUAAUCUCUUAAAGCCAAUCUCAGUUCGGAUUGUAGGCUGCAACUCGCCUACAUGAAGUCGGAAUCGCUAGUAAUCGCGGAUCAGCACGCCGCGGUGAAUACGUUCCCGGGCCUUGUACACACCGCCCGUCACACCACGAGAGUUUGUAACACCCGAAGUCGGUGAGGUAACCUUUUGGAGCCAGCCGCCUAAGGUGGGACAGAUGAUGGGGUGAAGUCGAGUAGAGUAGCAAC
Molecule: ribosomal RNA, 1478 nt
Filed under: Streptococcus thermophilus
Lineage: Bacteria; Bacillati; Bacillota; Bacilli; Lactobacillales; Streptococcaceae
Description: bacterial SSU rRNA
Rfam family: Bacterial small subunit ribosomal RNA
Source: RNAcentral